CAUGGUUUAACUAGUCUAAUCAAGCAAAAAGAAAUUAAGUUUGACUCCCCGAAACUAAGUGAGCUACUUUAGGACAGCUUAAUGAGCAAACCCAUCUCUGUCGCAAAAGAGUGGGAAGAUCUUAAAGUAGAGGUGAUAUACCUAACGACCUUAGCGAUAGCUGGUUAUUUAGGAAAAGAAUCUUAGUUCAACCUAAAGCUUUUUCAAUACCUCAAAAUAAAUUACUUUAGAGUUAUUCAAAUAAGUCACAGCUUGUUUGAAACAGGAUACAGCCUCAACCUGUGGGUAAUUAACCAUAUAAGCAAAUCAAGUAGGCCUAAAAGCAGCCACCUUUAAAAAAGCGUCAAAGCUUAAUUUUUACCUAUCAUAUAAUUCAUUUAACCACUAAAAACCCCUCAACAGUACUAAAUAAUCCUAUAAUUUUAUAGGACUCUUUAUGUUAAAACUAGUAACAAGAAAAACCUUCUCUUAUAUGCAAGUGUAAAUCAGAAUAGAAACACUACUGACACUUAACAGACUUAAUCCAUAGUACUAAACUACUUAGAAAAAUCUACUGAUUUAGCUGUUAACCUAACACAAGAGCAUAAAAAGAAAGAUUACAAGAAAAAGAAGGAACUCGGCAAACUUUGAUUCCGCCUGUUU
Molecule: ribosomal RNA, 642 nt
Filed under: Eleutherodactylus cf. auriculatus 1 AR-2009
Lineage: Eukaryota; Metazoa; Chordata; Amphibia; Anura; Eleutherodactylidae
Description: partial 16S ribosomal RNA
Rfam family: Bacterial large subunit ribosomal RNA (bases 1-441)
Source: RNAcentral